UAGCAAACCUCACCACCACCCGUCACACGCCUUGGCUGGCUCUCCCCGCUCGUCGAUCGAUCGAUCCUCCCCUCCCUCCCACGCCUUUGUCUUCCACCGCGCGCCGCCCAGCCAAAAUUCACUCGCUCCUCCACACAACCGCCCGCCCGUCCCCCCCACCCACGCGGCGCGUCACCUACCACCACCGCAUCGAUCUCGUCCACCGUCCAGGUUGAGGGAGAGGGGAGUUGGUGAGGAGGGGAGGGGAGAUCAGAGCAGCAUCCUCGUAAGGCGCGCCGGCAAUUAGGAUUUAGGACUCGUGCUUGCAUUACCGGAAAACCUAAUCUCUUCCUCGCUCGACGAGGAGGGGAGGGGAGGUGAGGUGAGGGGGGGAGCUAGAGAACAAAGGCUUGGUUUGGUGCCAUCUGGCGUCUCCGAUGGCGUAACC
RNAcentral lists this long non-coding RNA (427 nucleotides) under Oryza brachyantha (malo sina). RNAcentral describes it as "long non-coding RNA (OBRA_LNC000684)". Lineage: Eukaryota; Viridiplantae; Streptophyta; Magnoliopsida; Poales; Poaceae. The record is from RNAcentral.